AUGCCUAGGAGGUCGACCAUGAAAACCAUUUUCUUGGUACGACAACUUAUGGAGAGAUAUAGGGAGCAAAAGAAGGACUUGCAUAUGGUGUUCAUUGACUUGGAGAAGGCCUAUGAUAAGAUACCGCGGAAUGUCAUGUGGUGGGCCUUGGAGAAACACAAAGUCCCAGCAAAGUACAUUACCCUCAUCAAGGACAUGUACGAUAAUGUUGUGACAAGUGUUCGAACAAGUGAUGUCGACACCGAUGACUUCCCGAUUAAGAUAGGACUGCAUCAGGGGUCAGCUUUGAGCCCUUAUCUUUUUGCAUUGGUGAUGGAUGAGGUCACAAGGGAUAUACAAGGAGAUAUCCCAUGGUGUAUGCUCUUUGCGGAUGAUGUGGUGCUAUUUGACGAUAGUCGGACGGGGUAA
RNAcentral lists this ribosomal RNA (408 nucleotides) under Triticum aestivum (bread wheat). RNAcentral describes it as "partial small subunit ribosomal RNA". Lineage: Eukaryota; Viridiplantae; Streptophyta; Magnoliopsida; Poales; Poaceae. The record is from RNAcentral.